GAAAUCAAGCAGAAGAGGCAGGAAACCAUCAACCUCCUAAUAUCUGUCCAGAUACUGAUAACACACUGAUUUGACUGCUCAGCAGAGCAGUGCUUAUUACUAAGGUUUUCUCUUUCCUGAUGAAAAGCUGUGUGCAACAAACACUUCCCAGAAGAGCCAAGGUGUCACUCAUGAGAAUCAUUUGUAAUAUGCAAUUGCGUUGGGUUUGUGUGACAAGGUUUGGGUCAGAGAGACUGAAGGAGUAGCCUCUGAGAGAAGAGUCCAGAAGCUGUCCCGUGUUAUGUAAGAGCCAGAUCCAUCUUGCUCCAAAAGGAACCUACCAACAGGCCAAAGCUGAACCAAUGAGAAAUGUAAGAAGCGUUGUUUGUUGUGCCUCUGGGAUAAUGUACUUAAGAAUGGCUAAAACAGCUGCUAGAAGAGGAGUGUAAGAAAACAGAAACAACCAGACAGGCAACGCUGUCAGUGAAGAAGGUGGGGGAGGAAAUGCUCCAGGUGUCGGAGCAGAAGUUCCCCUACAGCACAAUGACACAGGUUUUCCCCUGGAGCCCAUGGUGUACCAUUUCACAGCAAUACCCACAGUACAGUCCAUGGUGGGGAAGGUGAAUAUAAUCUGAAGGUGCACAGCCCAUAAGAGCCCCUCUAGGAGCAGACUGCUGGCUGGAAUCACAGCCCACAGAGAGGAAACAAUGGUAGAACAGGAGGUCUUCAAGACCCAACAAACAGUUCAAUGAACCUCUACCAUAAACUAGAAAAAGCUUUAGAAGGAAAAAGAAAAAGAGAAUGUGAAAUGCAUCUUUGCUAACAUAACCCAGUUUGGAAAGUAUUCAUAAUGCUAAAGUCAGACUAGUACUGCUAUGCUGAAAACAACCAAAAGUGCAUUAUUUAUAUUAAGGAAAACUUUGUGGCAGGUGUAGUGGAUGCCAAACACAGAAAUAGGUCAAGCAAACAAUUCAGUGAAUUUGUGGAAAAUGAAUCAAAAGCUGCUAUGAAAAUUAUAGGUUGGAUAGAAAUUUCAUAUAGACAUUGGUAGAACUUAAUAGUGAAAGUUUUCUCUAUUUUUCUACAUGUUGUUUUAUUCCUGGAUGUCAGCCACUGGCUAUUGUCUGAGGUCAAUAAAUUAUCAAGGGUAAGCUC
Long non-coding RNA from Gallus gallus (chicken), 1134 nucleotides. The record is from Ensembl. NCBI's taxonomy places the organism in Eukaryota, Metazoa, Chordata, Aves, Galliformes, Phasianidae.